RNAcentral lists this ribosomal RNA (248 nucleotides) under uncultured bacterium. RNAcentral describes it as "partial 16S ribosomal RNA". It matches the Rfam family "Bacterial small subunit ribosomal RNA", at positions 15 to 244 of the family's 1533-position model. The record is from RNAcentral.
GAUCAUGGCUCAGGAUGAACGCUGGCGGCGUGCUUAACACAUGCAAGUCGAACGGAACUACUUUGAUGAGAUUCUUCGGAAAGGAUUUGAUUUAGUUUAGUGGCGGACGGGUGAGUAACGCGUGGGUAACCUGCCUCAUACAGGGGGAUAACAGUUGGAAACGGCUGUUAAUACCGCAUAAGCGCACAGUACCGCAUGGUAUGGUGUGAAAAACUCCGGUGGUAUGAGAUGGACCCGCGUCUGAUUAG